This 566-nucleotide ribosomal RNA is filed under the name Crossodactylus sp. CFBH11961. RNAcentral's name for it is "partial large subunit ribosomal RNA". It matches the Rfam family "Bacterial large subunit ribosomal RNA", at positions 1832 to 2597 of the family's 2925-position model. Lineage: Eukaryota; Metazoa; Chordata; Amphibia; Anura; Hylodidae. The record is from RNAcentral. RNAcentral also lists the same sequence under 1 other name.
CGCCUCUUGUACAUGUAUAAGAGGUCCAGCCUGCCCAGUGACUUAGUUUAACGGCCGCGGUAUCCUAACCGUGCGAAGGUAGCGUAAUCACUUGUUCUUUAAAUGAGGACUUGUAUGAAUGGCACCACGAGGGUUUUACUGUCUCCUUUUUCUAAUCAGUGAAACUAAUCUUCCCGUGAAGAAGCGGGAAUAAACGUAUAAGACGAGAAGACCCUAUGGAGCUUUAAAUACAUAGCAAAUGCUUACUUCAUUUUAUAUUCCGAUAAUUACCACUUAAUCUAGCAUUAUGAACUAUCGAUUUUAGGUUGGGGUGACCAUGGAGCAAAAAUCAACCUCCAUAUUGAAAAAACUUCAUUUUAAGCAAAAAAUUACCACUUUAAGCAUCAACAUAUUGACAUUAAUUGACCCAAUAAUUUGAUCAAUGAACCAAGUUACCCUAGGGAUAACAGCGCAAUCUACUUCAAGAGCUCUUAUCGACAAGUAGGCUUACGACCUCGAUGUUGGAUCAGGGUAUCCUAGUGGUGCAGCCGCUACUAAAGGUUCGUUUGUUCAACGAUUAAAACCCU